UUUAAUAUAGCAUAUUUAUUAAUGUAUUAAAUUUAGAAUUUAAAGAAAAAAUUAAUUUUUAUUAAAU
RNAcentral lists this transfer RNA (67 nucleotides) under Binodoxys communis. RNAcentral's name for it is "tRNA-Leu". The record is from RNAcentral. Lineage: Eukaryota; Metazoa; Arthropoda; Insecta; Hymenoptera; Braconidae.